UUGGAUAUGCACAUGCUGGUAUAAUAAGGGGAGAGAAAAAAGUUUUCGUCGCCACCUAAGUAACCACUGAGAAGCCAUUAUUGCUGGUUUUCCUGCCUUUUACUUUUCUAUCUUCUUGUCACGAUAUGGUAUUCACUGGGUUUCUUUCCUGCAGGAAAUGAAUUGGAUUUGCAAGUGUAGCUUUAACAACUAUAAUAAAGAUAUAUCACAGACUUUUGGCAGGGCCUAUAACAGUGAUUGGGUUGCCACUGUACUAUUCAUUUGUCCCCAGUUAACGAGGAUGUUUACCUGUUUUUUACCAAGCAUGCGUCCUGUCUCAGAUCUCUAAUCUUGCUGAGGUAAAUAUUGUAAGUUGUAACCUUAAGAAUCUUGCUACCAGGGGUGAGUGAGUAGUACAUACAUGUCUCAGUUUCUUUUGUCAAAAGGCAUACACCUCCAUGAUCCAUGAUCCAUGAUCAGAUCAACUCUGUG
Molecule: long non-coding RNA, 471 nt
Filed under: Vigna radiata
Lineage: Eukaryota; Viridiplantae; Streptophyta; Magnoliopsida; Fabales; Fabaceae
Description: long non-coding RNA (VRAD_LNC007435)
Source: RNAcentral